RNAcentral lists this long non-coding RNA (729 nucleotides) under Daphnia pulex (common water flea). RNAcentral's name for it is "uncharacterized LOC124205559, transcript variant X1". The record is from RNAcentral. Lineage: Eukaryota; Metazoa; Arthropoda; Branchiopoda; Diplostraca; Daphniidae.
GAUGGCAGUUUGGAGUUUGCUCAAGGUUUCCAGUUAAAAUGUUUCUAUUUUCCUUAAAAACUACCGAAAUUACCAAUACAUUUAUAUGUACAUCGAUGUACAUAUUUAUUAAGUGCCAUCUGCUUGUUGGCACCUGUGUUCCAGCUUCUUUGUUUUUGCCGGUUUUGCAGACCAAAUGAAGUCUUAAUUUGAUAUACUAUAUAUUUUGUCUUUUCUGUUUCCCUAUCAAAUUAUAUUUAUGGAUCAUGGAAAUUCCAAGCUUUCACAACAAGUUCCUGAAGUUUUUACAUCAACCACAGCUUUUGCUACAGAACAUCGACUUUAUGGCCCUAAAUUUUGGAUGAAUACAACAGGUUCUCUCUUCGACUCUUGAGUAAUUGGUACUUCCAACACAGUUGAAGUGUUAAUCAAGUAGUGAUGUACUAUUGUUUCCAUUUUCAACUAAAAGCAUGCAGCAAACUUCCCAAAGCAAGCAGAGACCAUCCGAGCUGAAGGCAAGCUCACCUCUGCAUCCAACCCAAUCCAUCCAGCAGUAAAGAAGCCCUGUUUGCGACAGCCGUAGUCGUGGCCGGUAGGACUUCGACGCCGAAAUUCAACUGCCCUUGGAACUGAAAGACCAAACGAACGUACAGAGUCAGCUCUGGCAAUAGGCGAUUGUAUAGCAUCUAGCGGAGAAAUUCUUUACUGAUUAUCUGCCAUUGCCAUUCAUCGUCUGCUACGUAACUUUUU